Molecule: ribosomal RNA, 640 nt
Filed under: uncultured actinomycete
Lineage: Bacteria; Bacillati; Actinomycetota; Actinomycetes; Actinomycetales
Description: bacterial SSU rRNA
Rfam family: Bacterial small subunit ribosomal RNA
Source: RNAcentral
CGCGGCCUAUCAGCUUGUUGGUGGGGUAACGGCCUACCAAGGCAGCGACGGGUAGCUGGUUUGAGAGAACGAUCAGCCACACUGGGACUGAGACACGGCCCAGACUCCUACGGGAGGCAGCAGUAGGGAAUCUUGCGCAAUGGGCGAAAGCCUGACGCAGCAACGCCGCGUGCGGGAUGACGGCCUUCGUGGUUGUAAACCGCUUUCAGCAGGGACGAAAAUGACGGUACCUGCAGAAGAAGCCCCGGCUAACUACGUGCCAGCAGCCGCGGUAAUACGUAGGGGGCGAGCGUUGUCCGGAAUCAUUGGGCGUAAAGAGCUCGUAGGCGGUUCAGUAAGUCGGGUGUGAAAGCUCCGAGCUCAACUCGGAGAGGCCACCCGAUACUGCUGUGACUAGAAUCCAGUAGGGGAGCGUGGAACUCCUGGUGUAGCGGUGAAAUGCGCAGAUAUCAGGAAGAACACCAGCAGCGAAGGCGGCGCUCUGGGCUGGAAUUGACGCUGAGGAGCGAAAGUGUGGGUAGCAAACAGGAUUAGAUACCCUGGUAGUCCACACCGUAAACGUUGGGCACUAGGUGUGGGGAGGAAUCAACCCUCUCUGUGCCGUAGCUAACGCAUUAAGUGCCCCGCCUGGGGAGUACGG